This 451-nucleotide ribosomal RNA is filed under the name uncultured bacterium. RNAcentral describes it as "bacterial SSU rRNA". It matches the Rfam family "Bacterial small subunit ribosomal RNA", at positions 29 to 524 of the family's 1533-position model. The record is from RNAcentral.
AGCGAACGCUGGCGGCAGGCUUAACACAUGCAAGUCGAACGGGCGUAGCAAUACGUCAGUGGCAGACGGGUGAGUAACACGUGGGAACGUACCUUUGGUUCGGAACAACUGAGGGAAACUCCAGCUAAUACCGGAUAAGCCCUUACGGGGAAAGAUUUAUCGCCGAAAGAUCGGCCCGCGUCUGAUUAGCUAGUUGGUGGGGUAAGAGCCCACCAAGGCGACGAUCAGUAGCUGGUCUGAGAGGAUGAUCAGCCACAUUGGGACUGAGACACGGCCCAAACUCCUACGGGAGGCAGCAGUGGGGAAUAUUGGACAAUGGGCGAAAGCCUGAUCCAGCCAUGCCGCGUGAGUGAUGAAGGCCCUAGGGUUGUAAAGCUCUUUUAACGGGGAAGAUAAUGACGGUACCCGUAGAAUAAGCCCCGGCUAACUUCGUGCCAGCAGCCGCGGUAAU